Molecule: ribosomal RNA, 402 nt
Filed under: uncultured prokaryote
Description: bacterial SSU rRNA
Rfam family: Bacterial small subunit ribosomal RNA
Source: RNAcentral
UGAGGAAUAUUGCACAAUGGAGGAAACUCUGAUGCAGCAACGCCGCGUGGAGGAUGACGCAUUUCGGUGUGUAAACUCCUUUUAUUAGGGAAGAAAAUGACGGUACCUAAUGAAUAAGCACCGGCUAACUCCGUGCCAGCAGCCGCGGUAAUACGGAGGGUGCAAGCGUUACUCGGAAUCACUGGGCGUAAAGGACGCGUAGGCGGGUUGGUAAGUCAGAUGUGAAAUCCUACAGCUUAACUGUAGAACUGCAUUUGAAACUACCGACCUAGAGUGUGGGAGGGGGAGAUGGAAUUAGUGGUGUAGGGGUAAAAUCCGUAGAUAUCACUAGGAAUACCGAAAGCGAAGGCGAUCUCCUGGAACAUAACUGACGCUAAGGCGUGAAAGCGUGGGGAGCAAACA